UAAUACAUGCAAGUCGAACGCGUCUCCGUUGAUGAUUUUAGGUGCUUGCACUUGAAAGAUUUAACAUUGAGACGAGUGGCGAACUGGUGAGUAACACGUGGGUAACCUGCCCUUGAAGUAGGGGAUAACACUUGGAAACAGGUGCUAAUACCGUAUAACAACCAAAACCACCUGGUUUUGGUUUAAAAGACGGCUUCGGCUGUCACUUUAGGAUGGACCCGCGGCGUAUUAGCUUGUUGGUAAGGUAACGGCCUACCAAGGCGAUGAUACGUAGCCGACCUGAGAGGGUAAUCGGCCACAUUGGGACUGAGACACGGCCCAAACUCCUACGGGAGGCAGCAGUAGGGAAUCUUCCACAAUGGACGAAAGUCUGAUGGAGCAACGCCGCGUGAGUGAUGAAGGGUUUCGGCUCGUAAAACUCUGUUGUUGGAGAAGAACAGGUGUCAGAGUAACUGUUGACAUCUUGACGGUAUCCAACCAGAAAGCCACGGCUAACUACGUGCCAGCAGCCGCGGUAAUACGUAGGUGGCAAGCGUUGUCCGGAUUUAUUGGGCGUAAAGCGAGCGCAGGCGGUUUUUUAGGUCUGAUGUGAAAGCCUUCGGCUUAACCGGAGAAGUGCAUCGGAAACCGGGAGACUUGAGUGCAGAAGAGGACAGUGGAACUCCAUGUGUAGCGGUGAAAUGCGUAGAUAUAUGGAAGAACACCAGUGGCGAAGGCGGCUGUCUGGUCUGUAACUGACGCUGA
Molecule: ribosomal RNA, 744 nt
Filed under: Lentilactobacillus buchneri
Lineage: Bacteria; Bacillati; Bacillota; Bacilli; Lactobacillales; Lactobacillaceae
Description: bacterial SSU rRNA
Rfam family: Bacterial small subunit ribosomal RNA
Source: RNAcentral